CUAGGGCUUGGGGAAGGAGACACUAUAGAAGGUUGUUGGAUCGCUUUGUCGGUGGGGAUAAAAUUAUUCAUCUAAGGAUGCCUUAAUCAUGAAAAGGUAGAGAGGUUUCUCUUAACCUCCAAUAGGAUUCUCUUUUUUCUAUUGCUUGAGAAUAAUAAUGAAUUCUUGAUGUGUGAUUAUGUGUUCAUGAAUUGUAUGUGAGGUUGAAUUUGAUAUGUGAGGUUGAAUUUGAUGUUAUUUUU
This 242-nucleotide long non-coding RNA is filed under the name Lathyrus oleraceus (garden pea). Its description in RNAcentral is "Pisum sativum (pea) long non-coding RNA (PSAT_LNC003323)". The record is from RNAcentral. Lineage: Eukaryota; Viridiplantae; Streptophyta; Magnoliopsida; Fabales; Fabaceae.